Heterocephalus glaber (naked mole-rat) is the source of this 5404-nucleotide long non-coding RNA. The record is from Ensembl. NCBI's taxonomy places the organism in Eukaryota, Metazoa, Chordata, Mammalia, Rodentia, Bathyergidae.
CUCCACUGCCACACGCACAGAAACUCCUACACAAACGGCACCCACAUUUGCGCCCACCCUCAGCUCUGCAAACAUGCUACUCCUCGAACACACAGUUCCCCUCACAAAUACGCCCGCGCUCAGUCACAGCUGCCGCGGUGUCGGAGGCGAGGCGAGGAAGGGAGCUGGAAUAACAAAGGGCUGGAGAGAUCACUCCUUCUACCGCCGGGAGAGAGGAGGCAACAUGAAUUCAUUCCCAAGGCUCUGGUAGUCUGACAGCCGAUGAACUCAGCCUGGAAUUCCUGAAGGCUUGGAGCCUGCAGCUCGGGUCCCCGGGACUUGAUGUGUCCGUGUGCCGUGCGGAACCUGUUUGAUUUUCCCAGGGGAAACCCUGCCUUCUCCUGCCACUGGGCACUGGGGAAGGUGCUCCUUUCCUGCCUCCUCAGCCUUCCGACCUGUCACAAGGACUGUUACUGCUGCUGCUUCCCCCACUCACCCACCCACAGGUGGCAGCUGAGUAUCUGGGGUGGGUGGGUUAUUUGCAAUCACUUCCUGACCUUUAGGGACACCCAGAGGCACCAUCCCAGCAAAUUCCUGUGGGAGGGAGUCCCUGCUUCUCAGCCUGUGGGUGGCCCAAGUUCACAGGUGGGUUGAGGGCUGCCUGAGAAAUCCUUGAAGGCCUGCUUUGGAAAGUGGGAAUUCAGCUUGCUGCCUGUUGGCUAAACCUACAGCUCACCCACCACAGCAUCCUACAGCAUUGCAAUGAGCAGAAAGCCACCCCCACGCCCAGGACUAAAAUCCCAUAGUGGAGUUUUCCAAGCAUUUAAGGACUUGGAAUGCAAGAAACCAGCCACAGCCAGCAACUGGGCCAGUUCCUGUUGCCUUGAUGACACCGGGUCAGGACACCUGGCCCUCUCAGCCUUCUGUCCAAAUCCCUCACUGAGUACCCAGAGCUGGCUAUCCCCUAGGAGGUGGGGGGAUGCAGAUAACCUCAGGAUGACCAUUCAUGUUCAAAAGCUCCUGUCCAGAAGCUUCUGGCCAGUAUUUAUACCUGGGAACCAGGAAGUGACUGCAGGAACCAAGCAGGAGCCAAGCAGGAACCAGCCCAGAGCGAGUGGGCUGGCCAUGCAUCACUUGUCCAGAGGCAGCUUCAGGACCCACUAUGGGAGCACAGGCUGCAUGGGCGCAGCCCUCGGGUGCUGAUACAGGGCCUGGCUUGGACCCUCCUUCGCCUCGGACUCAGGUGCUAUUCAUUUCCCCCUCCCUGGGAGCCAUCAUCAGAACAAAGAGGCCGGACCCAGGAGAGCAAGACCCAGGUCUCAGGAGGCCAGAAGCCACAGGUCAGUGAGAGGCUUCAGGCCCUGGGCACACAGAGGACCUAUGCAGGGUGCAGUGAGUGUGGCCAUCUGCAAGGCACUUGGUGGGCUGGGGUAUGGGGACAGGUGCGUGGGGACAGUUCCUCCUCUCUGAGGACUGCCUUCUCUGUCCCCACUCUUACUCUCAACCCGCCCCCCUCAUGGGAGCCAGGAAACAUCUGAAUCGGUCCUGGGGAGGCGGGAGGAAAGUCACGUGUAUGGAAUGCUGACUGUGAGCCAGGCACCGUGGAAACCUUCUCUUUUUCCAUCCGUGCCACAAGCCAGGUGUCACUGCGGCUGCAGGAAGAUGAGCAGAGGCUCCACAACCUGCUGGCAUUCUCAAAGCUGCUGGGUGGGUGACACCAGCAUUGGGAUCUGAGUAUGGCUGUUCCUGGGGGUAGAAAGUGAAGUUUUAUGCCCUCAUCUCAUUGCUAGCUAUGUUAGCAAUGAGGUGGCCUCUGCAGAUACUUUAGGGUAAAGACCUUCACCCAUCUGCCAGGGAAGUUGGGGGCCCUUCUCAUGGCAGUAAUGUGAUGGUGAAUGCAUUUAGCCUUCACCCCCUUGGUGGAGGAAGGAAGCUUCCGGGCCUUCCCUAGCUCUGAGCCUGGGCCUCCUGGAGGUGGGUGGUUGAGUACAGCAGAGAGCAGCUGUGUCCCUGCUUGCUGGGCUCCCUGUUGUGCCUCCGUGUCUGCUCCAGUCAGAUUGCCCCUCCCUUCUCUGCAUCCAGCACUUGGCCUUGACUCUUCAGGACCCUUCUCCUGGGUCAGUGUCUCACUCUCACCGUGGAGCUCUGCUCUUCCUGCUCCUGGCUCCACAUCCAGCUCAGCCCCUGCCCCGCCCUCCAGGGAGACCCGGAGAGGAGACUGAGAGCCUGCUUCAGCAUGGGGAUACCUCAGUGCCCAGCCUGCCACUCCUGACCUACAUAUGAGAAGAAGAAAGAAAUCCAGGCCUUGUUCCCAGCUACAGCUGGUGCCAACCAAAACCCCGCAGGAAGAAAAUGGAGCAGGAGCCUGCUGCCCAGGGGCCUGGCUGCUGACACAGGCCCUUUCUAUUCUGCUGUCCGCUACAGCCCCUCAAUGGACACCCUUCACCUGUCUUCUUGGCCCCAGUGUAAAUAAUCUCCCAUUAACCUCACAAACUUGGGUAAAUCCAGGUCCCACCACUGCCCUACCAUGUUUUCCUUCCUCACCCACCCAUUGCCUGAAAUGAGCUAGGCUCCUUCCCUGCCAGCCUAGUGCCUACCCUACCAGAUGAGGACUGCAGUGCCUGUCUGGGGAAGUUGCACGAGUGCCUUCUCCAUGGAGCCAUAGGGGAGACCCUGCUUUGCUUCCAAGAUGGACCUAGGAUGAUGUUCCACCCUGUGCUGGGUGCCAGCCUUUCACUCACACAUGGAGGCCAUCACAGUGGGGUCUGUGGGCAUGAUGAACAGCUAGUUCUACAGAGGUGAAAGUACAGUACUUUAAAGUCACCCAGAGACAAAAGUGGUUUAAAAGUUGCCCAGUUUAUUCUCUGCCUGUGAUCUUAGAAGAAAAGUGUUCCCCAAAGUCUCCUAUGCCGUCUUUCUUUUGGUUUUGGUUUUUUAGACAGUGUCUCACUUUGUAGUUCAGGUUGGCCUUGAACUCACUACAUAGCCCAGGCUGGACUCGAACUCAUGGUAAUCCUCCUGCCUCCGCCUGCCAAAUGCUGGGAUUACAGGCCUAUGCCACCAUGCCUGGCUCCCAUGCCAUCUUAUUGCAUCCUGCCCUCUGGGAACUCUGUCUACCCAUGGAGCCCAGCUUCCCAAGGCGUGAGCUGGUCUGAUCCAGAUUUCUCCAGACAGCCCUAAGGGAGCCACAUCCUGCCCACUGGCUGGUGUCCACCAGGAACCCUUGAGUCAGGCUGGCCACCACAGACAGCUUUCUAAGCUCUCUCCUCCCUCCUAUGGGCAAAACACUUCAGACAGUAUAAAAAAAAAAAAAAGUACUUCAUGUCACAUGUGAAUGCCACAGCAGCCUCAGGAGGAUGCAGAUUUGCAGAUUGCAUAGCUCACUUUGGGCUUCAAAAGGCCUAGCACUCUGGCUAAGGUCACAUGGGCACUGGACAGAGUUGUCAUUUGAACCCUGGUCUCUUGAUUCCAUGCCACUAAGGAAUGGGGAUGCAGGUGGCAAUGACCUCAGAACAUGGCAUUCUCAGCACUGGGAUGCUACCAGAAGACAAAAAUCUCAGACACUGAUUCAUUGAUUCAAUCAACAAAUAUUUAUUAAACACUAGCUGUGUGCUGGGCCCGAACCUCGGCACUGGGUGUCCAACUCGUGAAGCAGUAGAUCUGGUUCAUGCUGCCCCACACCUGUGUUAGGUGUUGGAGACAGACACUGAAACAGACCUUGUGUGGAAAGACCUCCCCUCCCACCGCUAGCCAGCAUCCUAGCAAAGCCCAGGGCCAAAGGGCAGGGAGAUAGGGCUCUGGUCCCAGUGUUGCCCCUAACUGGCCAUGUGACAUCGAACAAGGUUUCCCACCUCUGAAAUCUGUAUGCCAGUGCCUCCCCAUAUGUUUUCUGGGGUUCCUGCCCAACUCCCACCUUCUGGGUCAAGUGGUUAAUGAUUUCCUGACAUGAAUAAUUACUCUGAUUUGGUGUUUUCUGAAACCCAACUUUUCGUAGGCACUUGGAGCCAGAAAGGGGCUUCUGAGUCCCCUGACCUGAGCCUCUCACUAAGUAGGAACCCCUUAGCCUCAGUGCUCCUUGGAAGUGACGGGUAUUGCUUGUCCACUUCCGGAGAUGGGGCACUCACUGCCCCCACACACUGCAGAGCUCUCUGCACAGUGGUGUGCUGGUAAAUGUUUAACAUCUGGCUCUCCAAAGGGGGGAAAACCUGGUUUGUAGUAUUUGCUCAUUUCCAUCGUGUAAACACUCCCACCACAGCCCCAUUUCAAGCGGCCAGUCUAACAUCAACCUCACACUUUCUGAAAAAUUGAGUCAGCUCUUAGGAGCUGGUCCAAGCAGGCUACAACCCACCAAUGCCCCGGCCUACAGAGAAGUCUCAUCCAGCUUUACUUGCUGGAAAGUUCCUGCUGAUAUCAAGCGUGACACCUGAUUGGUCAGGCACUCGGGUCUGAAGGGAGAUUGACCUCUGAAGGCCUUUGGAGAUCUCCUUGUGACGGGGAGGGGGUUGGGGGUGGUGGUCCUGGGGCCAGUGGACACUGGGGAGACCCACCCUCCUGCUCGGCCUUUCUACCGCCUUUCCUCUUUUCUUCUGCUUCUCUCCUAAGUACUUGUUGGCUUCUGCGACACUAUAGAUACUAUGGCAACAGGGACCAAAUCUCGGCUCCCAGCCCCCUGCCUCCCUGCCUGUACCUUCCAGGCUGGAAUCAGAAGCCACCCCUCCCCAAGCCUGACCUGACCUGUACCCCUUCCCUUCCUGCAGCUACAGGCCCUGCCUCCGGAGCUUAUCACUGGCUUUGUCACUUAUCACGUUCUACCUUGGAUUACAGCUAUUUGUGUACACGCCUUAUCUCCCUGCCAGACAGAGAGGCAGCACUGGCUUGUUGAAAGAGCUUGGACUUUGGAGCCGAAUGACCUGGCCCCAGCAUCCCAGCCCUGCAGGGAGCUCAUACCAACUUUGCAAGCCUCAGUUUCCUUAUCUGUGAAGUGGGACUGCUGAUAACUCCUUUCAAGAUGAUUUUGGCCAUUAAAUUUGACUAGAAAUGUAAAUUCCUUUUCCUGUUCCCAUGUGGACUGCCCUCCUUUUGGGGACAGAUUGCCUCUUUGUAGUCUUCUGUAAUGUUAAUAGUGACAAAAGUAUAUGGCUGUGCUGUGCAGGGAGUGUUGUUCUCAGAACUUACAUAGGCUAACCCAUUUCAGCCUUGCAAAAAUUGGAGCUAUAGUGUUAUGUCCAUUGAUAAAUGACAGUGUGGAAGAGCUGAGGUUUGAAUCCAGGAAAACUGGCCCCACAGCCUUGGCUGUUGGGCUCCAUGCCAUGUUGCCGUGCUAUAAGGGUUCUUGGUGGCUUGUGGAGUGGUAGAGUGCAUGACAUCUUGGCAGUCCUGUUCCUUGCCCUGACCCAAGGGGUAGGGGCAGGGAGAUGCAGGAGAC